AAAGGGCGGAAGGUUGUCCAUCUAACCUAUUCAAACUGUAGUUUCAUUUUUGAACCUUCAUUUAUGUUUUAAUCUUUUUCUUUUUAAUUUUUAUCUGCUUCUUUAUAUUCCUUUAGAAACUACAACACCAGAACUUUUAUGACCCAAUAUCUGACUGUAUUUUAUAUUUUUUCUCUUAAUCAAAUCUCAUCAAAAACGAUUAUGUCCGUUGGCACCAAUUUUCUCCCCAGUGCUUAUCAUCCUUUAUUGAUCGUUCUGAUAGUGGGGAGUGUUGUCACAUUCCAAAAAGUGCAGACCUUGUAGUCUAGUGUAAUCUGUUAGAGGCAGAAAUCUGUGAUUCGUGUCUUCGAAUAACGUGAAGAAUAAAGAAAUGGAAAAAGAGAAAAUAUAAGACGUUGAUAAACAACAAGUGAAUCCGCGUAUAUCCCGAGGAGUGAUGCGUUUGCAAGCGGACGUCUUCGACAUCAAACAUUGCCACGAUGAAAAAAUGAGACACGUAAGUGUGUUGCGCAGACAGCAGAACGUACUUAUAUUAUAUAGAAGCUAAUACGUUCGAACAAGUCCUUUCGUUAAAACAAAACCAGGAUGGUGAGACAGAGCGAUCUGAGAAAAAUUACAAAACGGAGGAGAGCGGUUCUUUGAAUUACGCGAUGGACCAGUCUAUCGUAAAGUGAAAAAUCAACAACUUUUACUUUAUAUUCCGCGCGCUAUGGCCAAAAAUCAAAUCUACGACGAGAUUAGACAUAUCGACAUCGAUGUAUGUAGAGUUCUUGAAAAUCUGUUACGUGUCUGUUGGUUUCUGACGUCCCGCUUAUCGUAUUCGCUUUGAAUAACACCGUGUGUCGAUUACUGGCAAUACUACGUCGCGUUUGUUUUUCGGUAUAGAGUAGAGACUAAAAAA
This is a long non-coding RNA of Ceratina calcarata, 901 nucleotides long. RefSeq lists it as uncharacterized. The record is from RefSeq and is a predicted model, not a curated record. Lineage: Eukaryota; Metazoa; Arthropoda; Insecta; Hymenoptera; Apidae. The transcript has 2 exons.